Melopsittacus undulatus (budgerigar) is the source of this 3173-nucleotide long non-coding RNA. The record is from Ensembl. Lineage: Eukaryota; Metazoa; Chordata; Aves; Psittaciformes; Psittaculidae.
AUGGGUAUGAAUGCUGACAGUCACUCCAUCUCUUCUAGAACUGCUUUCCAAGCCAGAAAUUGCGGGCAACUCAUCAGUGAAGGCAGAAGGCAACACCAAAUCUGUUUGCAACCUCCUGAAAGGGAAGGCAGACUCAUACUGGUGAAAGAAAACGGGUUGCUGCUGCUGGGGAGCAACCACAUCCAGCUUGAGAACAACACCCUGCGCAUCCUGAGAGCCUUGUUAGACGACACCAGCUACUACGCUUGUGUGGCCCACAACAAAGUCAGCCUGAACGAAACCUCCUUCCUUCUCCAUGUCCAGAUUGAUUGCAGGUUUUUUCCUGAUUCCCAGGAAAAAAAAAAGAAAAGAAGGGGAGUGGGGGGAAAUGGCUCCAAACCACCAGUUUUUGGUGGCAGAUUUUUGCUUGGAGGGAGUGAGGUGGGGAUAAAUUCACUGUGGGUAUGGACAAUGUGGAUUCUCUUCUCCACAGAUGCAGCGAAUGUGGUGUUGCCCACAAUGCUGGCAUGCACUGCCAUGGGCUCACUGUCAGUUUACAGAAGAUGUGACAGCAGCAUUCUGCAGUGGAAAUGGAUACUGACAUGAAGGGUCUCCUGAUACCUGGACAGACAAGAGGAGCAGUCACUUGAGGUCUCACACUCCAUGUGCAGCUUCUCUCCUCACCUCCCCAAACCCACAGGUAUGUCAGCAGCUUAUGGGACUUGCAGAGCUUUUUCUCACAUUCAAUUUCCCUGCCAAUACUGCAGUGACAAUGAACUGCUGGAGAAUAAGGAUAUGCAUCAGAAUGACAAUGCAGGAAUGUGGGAGAGCUGAUUUCAGGUUGCUAACAGUCUGCAUGGACUGUAAUUGAGAAAGGGGCUGUCAGUGCCAAUAAUCUUUGGCAAGAGCCAUGCCCAGCACUCACCUGUCAGCAAGCCCUCAGCAGGGUGUGCCAGGAUCAUGGGCAGCACCACGUUCAGUUGUGACACAUGGUGCACUUCCUCUCUUCCUGAUACUGCAUUCAUCUCAAAGGGACAACACCUCAACAUUCCUUUGCUUUUCAAACACAUCUCCCACCCCAAAAGUGUACCCAAGACAAAUGGCCAUAAAUCACCAGCUUUUCCUGCAAGGAAAUGAAAAAUUCUAUGAGGAACUAUAUCCUCUUCCCUCUCUCAGACCAGGGGACAGAUUGGCAUGAUAUGGAGCCUAUGCUCACCUGUGCGGCCACCAUCGCCACAUACAGGCUUUGGGAUCUGUACUGCUCUUUCACAUGCUGCUGCUAGGUUCCCUGGCCCAUAGCCACAGACUGGCUAACUGGCUUCCUCUCUUUGCACAUGCUUGCCACCUGCAGAGCUGCUGUCCAUUACUUUGGUGCUCUGUGGAGAGGGUGUCUCUCUCCGUGCUUGUGCUGCUGCCUCCUGCUCACCAAAGUCAUCAGAAGCUGCUGCUGGGAGCCAGUGACACCACUUGUGUUUGCUGUGAGCAAGUAAAUGAUCUGCUCAGGCAGGUGCAUGGACUGAGGGAGGAGGUAGAAAGGUUGAGAGCCAUCAGAGAAUGCAAAAGUAAAAUAGAUUGGUGGAGCCACACCCUAAGGCAAGGGCAGAGGAAAGUGGUUGAACAAGUGAUGGAUCCCCUUCCCUCCUACCAUCAGACAGAAGGAGCAAACUUAAAGGACAAGGACGUAUGAAGGGAGGCCCCUUCUUGGAGAGGUAAGCAAAAACCCUCGCAAUCCCUUCCUCCCUCCCAGUUGCCCGUGAAUAACAGGUGUGAGGUCUUGGAACUACAGGGCCAGGUAAAUGGAGAUGGAGAGGUAAAUCUAUCUGGUGAGUCACCUAGGGCUUGUCACUCACCCCCAUGCCUUAGAACUUCCCCAAUCAAGAAGAAAAGAAGAGUAAUUGUGGUGGGUAACUCCUUUCUGAGGGGAACAGAAGGGCCCAUUUGUCAACCAGAUCCAUCCCACAGGGAAGUCUGCUGCCUACCUGGGGCUCAGAUUGGAGAUGUUAAAGAGAAACUCUCUGAUCUGGUGCAGCCCUCUGACUACUAUCCGUUGCUGGUUUUUCAGGUUGGCAGUGAUAAAAUUAUUACAAGGAGGGCAAGAGCAAUGAAGAGAGACUUCAGGGCCCUGGGACAGCUGGUUAAAGGGUCUGGAGCGCAAGUGGUGUUUGCCUCCAUACCUGUUACAAGCAAGAGUGAAGAGAUAAAUAGGAAGAUUCUGCAGAUUAAUGUAUGGCUACGUGACUGGUGCCAAAGGCAGGGUUUUGGGUUUUUGUCGUGGUUUAAACCAAGUCCCCCAACUCCCGGAGAGUUAGGAAGGAGAAUCCAAGGAAUGUAGCCCCCACGGAUUGAGAUAAGAACGGUUUAAUAGCUAAGGCAUACCACAAAAAUAAUGAUACAGCCAAUAACAAGCGAAAAGAAUACAACACUCCACCAGCCACCGACCCAUAACUCACUCCACCCUGCCCGGCCAAGCACCACGUGCUCCCUCCUCCAUUUUCCUCCAGAGCUCCACCCCUUCAGUUCUCUCUCUCUCCCAGUUGCAUCCUGGGCAUCACGUGCUAUGGUAUGGAAUACCUCAUUGGCUAGCCUGGGUCAGGUGUCCUGUCUCUCCUUCCUCCCAGCCUCCCCUCCUGUUGGGGGUCGAGCAUGGGCGCUUGAACAGGCCUACAGCAAGCUGUGAGAAAGUGAACUUAUGACCCAGGUUAAAAGAAGAAGUGUCAAGAUCAGCAAAACAGGAACACAAUAACAGGAUGCCAGUAAUUGCAAAAGCAUGAUGUAAUGCUAAGCUGAAGCGAAGGUUUGAAACCAAUCAGGAAAGGUAAAGGGGAGCGUGUAUGCCUCGUGGACAAAGCGAGGCAGCCAAUCAAGUAAUGCGUGAUUGCGUGUAAGACAGUAUAUUAAGAGCAGCCUUGUAAUCAAUAAACGGAGCAUUUUGUGAACCUACAUCCUAUCGGUGUUUUCUCCCCUCCACCUGGCCAUGGCACCCUCCUCCCUGGCAGAACACGUGCCUUGAACAAAAGGCACUUCAACAAAAACACCCUCAAAACAUGCUCACUAUCAAGCAACUAUUCCCAGCCCAAAAGUCAAAACACAGCACUGCACCAACUACAAGAAGGAGAAACAUGACUGCCACGGCUGAACCCAUGACAGUUUUUCAAUCAUGGGCUGCUAUAUGAGACACCUGGUUUGCUGGUGGC